Molecule: ribosomal RNA, 545 nt
Filed under: uncultured bacterium
Lineage: Bacteria
Description: bacterial SSU rRNA
Rfam family: Bacterial small subunit ribosomal RNA
Source: RNAcentral
AAUAGAUACCCGGGUAGUCCACGCCGUAAACGAUGAGUGCUAAGUGUUAGGGGGUUUCCGCCCCUUAGUGCUGCAGCUAACGCAUUAAGCACUCCGCCUGGGGAGUACGGUCGCAAGACUGAAACUCAAAGGAAUUGACGGGGCCCGCACAAGCGGUGGAGCAUGUGGUUAAUUCGAAGCAACGCGAAGAACCUUACCAGGUCUUGACAUCCCAUUGACCGCUAUGGAGACAUAGCUUUCCCUUCGGGGACAGUGGUGACAGGUGGUGCAUGGUUGUCGUCAGCUCGUGUCGUGAGAUGUUGGGUUAAGUCCCGCAACGAGCGCAACCCUUGUUCUUAGUUGCCAUCAUUUAGUUGGGCACUCUAAGGAGACUGCCGGUGACAAACCGGAGGAAGGUGGGGAUGACGUCAAAUCAUUAUGCCCCUUAUGACCUGGGCUACACACGUGCUACAAUGGACGGUCAAACGGUUGCCAACCCGGCAGGGGGAGCUAAUCCGGAUAAAAACCGUUCUCAGUUCGGAUUGUAGGCUGCAACUCGCCUACAU